AGUGUAUGUAAUUUAAUAAAAAUAUCAGGCUGUGACCUUGACAUUAGGAUAGCCCUCAUACA
This 62-nucleotide transfer RNA is filed under the name Arizona elegans. RNAcentral's name for it is "tRNA-His". Lineage: Eukaryota; Metazoa; Chordata; Lepidosauria; Squamata; Colubridae. The record is from RNAcentral.